CUCUUCCUCCAGGAGCCGGGACCAAAAUAACCGGGCGGGAGGGGACACCUCGCAGGGUCAUCCUCCUCUAAGAUUCCAGGACCAUGAUCAUCCCUCUAUUGCUACUUCUUAGAUCAGCUUGUAAUGUCCAUCUCCCCCACCAGACUGCGUCUCCAGCAUCUCUGAGUCCCCAGGGCCUGGCCUGGGGCUUGCUACAUGGUGGGUGCUCAGUAACUGUGAGGUAAAUAAAUGAAUGAAUUAACC
This 243-nucleotide long non-coding RNA is filed under the name Homo sapiens (human). RNAcentral's name for it is "non-protein coding lnc-EPOP-2:2". Lineage: Eukaryota; Metazoa; Chordata; Mammalia; Primates; Hominidae. The record is from RNAcentral.